AAAUAAACAGAACCAUCGCCAGAGGCUGUGCGCUCCUUUGUAAGAGAUAAGUUCUGAAGAGAGAGUGAGAGACACUCCCAUGGAAAUACUCUGCUUUUGAGAAGCAUCUACACAUAUCCUGUAGGGGCAUGAAGUGCUGUGAUGCUUGCAAUGUCCUGAGUAUUAAUGGUACAACUACUCCACCAAACUCUUCAGGUCCAACUGGAAAACAUACAAUAUCAUUCUACCAUCAAGUCCAACCUGGAAUACUGCAAGUUUUAAUUAGUCUUUGCUUACAUUUGGCUCUUUGCUCCCUUUUCCCUCUUGUAUCCAAAGUAAUCUUAAAAUUAAA
This is a long non-coding RNA of Saimiri boliviensis boliviensis (Bolivian squirrel monkey), 331 nucleotides long. RefSeq lists it as uncharacterized. NCBI's taxonomy places the organism in Eukaryota, Metazoa, Chordata, Mammalia, Primates, Cebidae. The record is from RefSeq and is a predicted model, not a curated record.